CUGAAAAAGAGAUCUAGAUCAGCCCCUGGAGACACGUUUCCUCAUGGCAGCAGAGUUUGAGGUACUAAUAAUGCAGGUAUCUUCUGCCUCUUCAGUACAACUAUUCCCCACAUCCACAGGGGAAUGAAGUUCAGCUACAAAGCAGGGCUUGGAAAUCAAAUCUCCCACCUGGCCAUGCCUAGUGUCCUAAAUCUGCCCACAUAUAUAAGACCAGACAAAAAAACCCUGUUAAAUGCUGCCUCUACAUUUAUUCAGCAGGGAUAUUUCCUUUACAAGACAAUCUAGCUCAAGCUCUGUGAGCCAUUAUUAAAAUCAGAAAGAUUUAUCGUGGUGUAUUUCCUCUGGCUUUGGUAAUUGGCUUAUGAACUUUUUUCAAAGGUUUCUAAGACCUGCAAGUAUCACACCUUGGUUUGGGGGGAAAAUCCAGGUAUUUUGCAGGCAUUGGUAUUGCAUACAUCACCUUUGUAAGUUCUCUGUACUGCAGGCUGGAUAUCAGUCAAUAGCUCGGUGUUACUGUACAACUGGUUCAUGUAAAGAUGAAAAAUGUGAGGGGCCAGAAUAAAGAGUCAGCUCAGCUUUGUCCAGUAUAGACAUUCACAUAUGCCAUUUUAAAAUCUUGACUCCCAUUCACUGAUUCCAUCCUAUCGCUCCACUGAAUGGAGCAUGUGAAAACAAACAUUCUCACGUUGCCUAAUGUUCUAGGGUGAGUUUUGCCUGAACGGUUUUUGUGUUCUGCAGGAGAGGAACAGUUUUGAAACUUAUCCUGACUGAUUUUUCUGCUUUUGUGCUUCAUGUAAAAAUUACACAUAACACAGCCUCAGCUGAUGCACCUGAAGGAAUGUUCCUGCUUAGAGAAAAAACAGCCACAGCUUCUAAGAGAAGUAAUAUUUUUAGCAUGGAGAAGACUUCCUACUUAAGUAGCUCACAGAACUGCUCCUUGAGAAAAUAUGGCUUUCAGAAUUUAUGGGUUUAUUACAAUUUCAUUUCUAAAAAUAAAGACUAUAAUGAGUAACAAAACUAGGAGUUUCCUAAUGGAUUACUUUUUAAUUUGAAGCAUUGAGAUGUACAGACAUCAAGAUUAAUACCCAGCUUGUUGUAGCCUGGAACUGUGUCAUAUGAAACUGAAGUAUUUCAGAAUUCCAGAUUUUUUCACUAGCAAAGAGUCACAAUUUAAGUGACAAAAGAUUCCUCCUAAAAUUUAUGAAAAUUAGUUUAUUACCUCAUAUCUCAUUUCAGUGGAGAUGAGAGAUGUUGUAAUGGGAUCCAGCUCCAGCUAAGGUCUCAAUGUUAAGAGGUUUUGAUCCUGGUAGUGGCCAAGCACCUUUGGUUAUCUUUCAGUGCACACCACAGCACUAACAGUGAGUAUGCAAAGAUCUGGCAAAAGCUCCAUUUGCUAUUAACACCUAAUGCACUACCCAGCAUGUUCCAGCCCCCUGAUAGCAGACAGGAUUUUGCAUUUCUGCCCCACCUAAAAAUCACUUAGCUGGAUAAUACUGUCUACAGCUUAGCUAUCAAUAUUUGUAUUCCAUCAGAAAGGCAUUUCUUUUAAUCAUAAUGAUUCCAAGGAAUGCAAAGUUCUGGACUCAGGAAUUUACCCAGGUCAGUGCUCUACAAAACCAAACAUUUUCUCAUUGCCAGCUGGAAAAAAUUUCACAGAUUUCUUUGAGUAUUACAAAAUAACUGCAUUUGCACUGAGCAGGCUUUCCCCCCUCCACCUAGACUUGAAUUGCACAACAUAAAGGCAGCAUAAAAUAUUUGCUCUCUGAUUCCACAUAAAGAACUUCAGCUUUCUCUGGAAACUUAGAGCUCUUUGGAAGACAAACACCCCACAAUGAAGAGCUUUCUGGCUUUCCUUGUUGCAAUGGGCAUCACAGUGACCCUGAGCGAUGCAGACUGCGAUGCUUCACUUCGAAAACCAGGGUGGCCCUACAGAGGCUGUUUGAGGGAUGGAAAAGUGUAUCCCUUUGGACACAUUGAGAGGACAGAAGAUUGCUACACAUGCAACUGCCACGAAAGAGGAAUGGAAUGCUGUUCCCUGUGGCCAUUCCUUUUUGCUUUCUCAAAGAGAGGGAAAACAAUUCUCCUAGCUCAAGUUUGCUCUCAGAAAGUGAUAAAUUACUUUCAAGAAGUAUUCUAAGACAUUGUGGGGGUUUUAGAGCAGGGUUUCCUGGGAUUACAUCUUCACACCACUGCAUAGUGCAUACGUUAUUACAAACUAAACAGCCUAAGUACAAUUCUGGUGAAACCUGCCAGAGAUGCAAGUCACAAAAUCUCUCAUGGUGUUCUGUUCUAUUUCCUGCCCAUCUCAAUCGGACAGGAAGGGUGUGGGACAAGAAAUGGCAGGAAGCAGGAUUUUUCACAUUACAGAGGAAAACAGAAAAGAAAAAAGAGAAGAGGUCCCAAAAGACAAGAUAUCCUUUGGAUUUGGCUGAAGAAUUCUGUGGUUGCCUUCACCAUCCCAGUCUGAGUCCUGCUACAAUAACUUCCAACCAUGGCAUUUAGUCUUCAUGGAAUCAGCAACUUAUAGUUCUAAAAAUGGAAAAAAGCUCAUGCUCUCUAAAUAGAACUGAAGUGUAAUGUAGGUGGGAUAUACACAAAAUUAACUGAAUUUCCCCAGAAAUAAAUACAAAGGAUGCUGAACUAAAUAACUCUAGGUAUGAAAUUGAAGUUAAGCCUUCUUUCAUUUUGUGUACACAUGGGCAGCUUGUGCUCAAGAUGCAAGAGCAGAUAAUUUGCUACACCUGGAGGACCAAAGGCAUGUUCCCAAUGCCAGUGUGGCCAGAGCAGUGUCCACUGUUGCACCUUGUAAGAUCCAAAAAAGCAGAGGCACUAGUGGACAGAACUACAGCAAUGCUUCCAACCUGCCACCCUUCCUACAGCUAAUUCCUUAAGUCACGGCUCCACAGAAAGACUUUUUUUACAGACAUAUGCUCUUUAUUUGCUUAAUCAGCUGCAGGUAAAGAUAAAAAGCUGUGUUUGGAAUCACUGUCAUUUUUUGAAUUUGUGGAAUAAACUUUUCUGUCAUUUUUCUGGUUCACUGAAGAUUUCUAAGACUUUUUUUUUAACUACACUUCUUGAGAUGGAAGGUAGAAGUACAGGAUAUUUAGCUUUUCCCAUAAGCUGGAGAUACCUUUUUUGCCAAAUCUGCCACUCCUAUUCAUUUUGAUUUACUGCCUCUGGACUUUUGUUCUUGCUGGUACCGCAUCUGUGGCCAUCUCCCACAGUUCUACCCACGCUUCAGAGAUGGAGGUCUCCUCAUUGCACGCACAGUCAGGUAUUUGUGAUUGGCCCUAUAGAUGUUUUUGUCUGUCUCAAUGUCCCUUGCUUAGCACUGAUCCUUUUUUCUGGGAUCAUGAUCUGACAGGAUUUUCCAGGCUAGCUGAGAAAUUAUCACGUUUUGAAAAUGCAUUCGCACCAAGAUAAAAAAUUAGGUGUUUCUCAUCCCACUGAAACUGCAUUGAAUUAAAACUGAAAUUGGACUCAUGGAUGGGGACUUGGCUACACAUGGAAGAAGGCAGGUGUGUUCAGAUCAGAGAAGAAAUUAUAUUAUUUUCUCAAGCUUGGGUCUCCCCAUGUUGAAUUGAGGUCUCAGUUCAAGUUUCUGCUCUGCCACCUGGGACAGAGCAGGUUACUGUUCUCUUACCCUCCUCUGUUACCUGGGACAAAUUGCUCACACUGCCUGUGUACCUUGCUAUAAAAUUAGAACAAUUCUUCGAUAAUUCCUGUCCUGGGAGAGAUCUGAGGGCCUAGGCUUUGAGGUUUGUAGGUAUAUGAACCUUAGACUUAAGAAAAGUGUUCCCACCAAAAUAAAAUUUCCUCCUACCACCUUUACAAUGUGAUCUUGUGUAAACAGUACACUGUAUAUUCCAGUGUUUGUAUGUGCCUUUCCUUAACACAGUUGUCCUUUCUCAUACACAAAAGGGACAGACUUUAAUAAAGUAAAGCCAAUGUACAUUAUACGUAGCAUUAUCAGUUUAAUGUCAAGAAGAGUUUAUUUGUAAAAUC
Taeniopygia guttata (zebra finch) is the source of this 4005-nucleotide non-coding RNA. The record is from RefSeq and is a predicted model, not a curated record. NCBI's taxonomy places the organism in Eukaryota, Metazoa, Chordata, Aves, Passeriformes, Estrildidae.